GAUGAACGCUGGCGGCGUGCCUAACACAUGCAAGUCGAGCGAGAAAUUUGUAAAUGAAGCUUCGGUAGAUUUUACAAAUGGAAAGCGGCGGACGGGUGAGUAACGCGUAGGCAACCUGCCCCAUACUAAGGGAUAGCAUCGGGAAACUGAUAUUAAUACCUCAUAACACCGAACUAAUACCUAUUAGGACGGUCAAAGAUUUAUCGGUAUGGGAUGGGCCUGCGUCUGAUUAGCUAGUUGGUAAGGUAACGGCUUACCAAGGCGACGAUCAGUAGCCGACCUGAGAGGGUGAUCGGCCACAUUGGAACUGAGACACGGUCCAA
Molecule: ribosomal RNA, 323 nt
Filed under: uncultured bacterium
Lineage: Bacteria
Description: bacterial SSU rRNA
Rfam family: Bacterial small subunit ribosomal RNA
Source: RNAcentral